RNAcentral lists this ribosomal RNA (440 nucleotides) under uncultured bacterium. RNAcentral describes it as "bacterial SSU rRNA". It matches the Rfam family "Bacterial small subunit ribosomal RNA", at positions 958 to 1398 of the family's 1533-position model. The record is from RNAcentral.
AACGCGAAGAACCUUACCUGGGCUCGAAAUGUAGUGGAAUCCGGUGGAAACAUCGGCGCCCAGCAAUGGGCCGCUAUAUAGGUGCUGCAUGGCUGUCGUCAGCUCGUGUCGUGAGAUGUUGGGUUAAGUCCCGCAACGAGCGCAACCCUUGUUACCAGUUGCUACCAUUUAGUUGAGCACUCUGGUGAGACCGCCUCGGAUAACGGGGAGGAAGGCGGGGAUGACGUCAAGUCCUCAUGGCCUUUAUGUCCAGGGCUACACACGUGCUACAAUGGGCGGGACAGAGGGGGCCGAGGCAGCAAUGCCAAGGCAAUCCCAAAACCCGUCCUCAGUUCGGAUUGUCGUCUGCAACUCGACGGCAUGAAGCUGGAAUCGCUAGUAAUCGUGGAUCAGCAUCGCCACGGUGAAUACGUUCCCGGGCCUUGUACACACCGAUACUC